RNAcentral lists this long non-coding RNA (687 nucleotides) under Oryza brachyantha (malo sina). RNAcentral describes it as "long non-coding RNA (OBRA_LNC001352)". The record is from RNAcentral. Lineage: Eukaryota; Viridiplantae; Streptophyta; Magnoliopsida; Poales; Poaceae.
AUCGGAUUCUCUAAAUAUCUAUUUGGUCACUCGCCAUUUCAUUUAGCUACUCAAAUUUAUUUUUCACUUGAACAGUCUCCCCUUGUCAUCUCUAUUCUGAGUCCAUGACAGUUAAAACCCACGUGUCAUCCUCUUUUUUUUUUUUCUCUCCACAUAUCUCCCUCAAUGUCUCUCUCCUCUUUCAUUUUCUCUUUCUGUGUGUCAUUAUCUGAAGAAUCAUACUGUAUCUGGAAAUCGUGAGCAAAACCAAAAGAUUGUCCCAAGAAUUGGACUUUGCGACGACAUGAUCCUCCGAUUUCCUCGCCGCAGAAGAACAGCUGCUGCCUUCCGUCCUCUUCCUCCUCGUCAAUCUCAUCCCCGUACCCAAGCUCCACUUCUCCCCGCUACCCCGGCUCGCUACCAUAUCCGGACUCCACCGUGGCCACCUCCGCCGCGGCGCCCACCCCACCAGACCCGGAUCCAACCCCACCAACGGGCGCAGGGCUGAAGUCCGUCGCCAUCGGGAUGGUCGACGCGGCAGCUGGGGACGACACUGGUCGCGGGCGUCAGAGACGGCGCCGGGUGCUGGGCGCGGGCGACAGCGGCGGCCGCGGUGGAGGACGACCCGACGACGACGACGACCCGAGUGCCCGUCGCCGGCCACCUUGGUCUCGCAGACGGGGAGGAUGCAGGCGGCGACGACGAGGC